RNAcentral lists this ribosomal RNA (253 nucleotides) under uncultured bacterium. RNAcentral describes it as "partial 16S ribosomal RNA". It matches the Rfam family "Bacterial small subunit ribosomal RNA", at positions 524 to 776 of the family's 1533-position model. The record is from RNAcentral.
UACAGGGGGUGCAAACGUUGCUCGGAAUUAUUGGGCGUAAAGCGCACGUAGGCGGCUUGGCAAGUCGGAUGUGAAAUCCCUCGGCUCAACCAAGGAAGUGCAUCCGAAACUGCCGAGCUUGAGUACUUAAGAGGAUCGCGGAAUUCCCGGUGUAGAGGUGAAAUUCGUAGAUAUCGGGAGGAACACCAGUGGCGAAGGCGGCGAUCUGGGAAGAUACUGACGCUGAGGUGCGAAAGCGUGGGGAGCAAACAGG